UACGGGAGGCAGCAGGGGGAAUAUUGCACAAUGGGCGCAAGCCUGAUGCAGCCAUGCCGCGUGUAUGAAAAAGGCCUUCGGGUUGUAAAGUACUUUCAGUCGUGAGGAAGGUGUUAAGGUUAAUAACCUUAGCAAUUGACGUUAGCGACAGAAGAAGCACCGGCUAACUCCGUGCCAGCAGCCGCGGUAAUACGGAGGGUGCGAGCGUUAAUCGGAAUUACUGGGCGUAAAGGGCACGCAGGCGGUUAAUUAAGUUGGAUGUGAAAUCCCCGGGCUUAACCUGGGAAUGGCAUUCAAGACUGGUUAGCUAGAGUCUUGUAGAGGGGGUAGAAUUCCAUGUGUAGCGGUGAAAUGCGUAGAGAUGUGGAGGAUACCGGUGGCGAAGGCGGCCCCUGGACAAGACUGACGCUCAUGUGCGAAAGCGUGGGGAGCAAACAGGGAUUUAGAUACC
This 451-nucleotide ribosomal RNA is filed under the name uncultured bacterium. RNAcentral's name for it is "bacterial SSU rRNA". It matches the Rfam family "Bacterial small subunit ribosomal RNA", at positions 340 to 786 of the family's 1533-position model. The record is from RNAcentral.